Camelus dromedarius (Arabian camel) is the source of this 518-nucleotide long non-coding RNA. RefSeq lists it as uncharacterized. The transcript has 4 exons. NCBI's taxonomy places the organism in Eukaryota, Metazoa, Chordata, Mammalia, Artiodactyla, Camelidae. The record is from RefSeq and is a predicted model, not a curated record.
GAUAAAAGUUGUUUGUUGGUUUUGGAGCCGGAAGAGAAGAGGAGGAUUACUACAGGCUUGGCAGCAGCUUCAGGAACUGCUUGUCCUCAUAGUCAAAGCGGCUUCCGAAGACAACAGAACUGAUGACGUUGGAGACAGUGCGGCUCAGGAAGAAGCACCACAGUUUCCCAGGGCAUCGCCUUAAUCCUUACAGUUGAAGAUGGACUUCCACCUCAUGUGCCAGGUCUACAUUCCAACCAGCAGGAUGAUGGGACACAGGAGUGGCACAACCUGGAAGCACCCCCUCCUCGCUCAUGUCCACACCCUCCAACUUUGUCCUCUGAGAGCAUGGAACACUCUAGCGUCAGUGGGAACCAAGUUCAAGUCCUGCCUCUGCUACUUUCUUGGUUUGUGUGAUCCUGAACAAGAAAGACGCCUCAUUUCUUUGAGCCUCUGUUUCCAUUUCUGAAAAAAUGAGGAUACCAUUAACAGUACCUCCUUUGCAAAGUUGUUGUACGGAUUAAAUAUACUGAAAGCCA